AAGCUCGUAGUUGAAUUUCGGGGUUAGUAGGUUGGUCAUGCCUCUGGUAUGUACUGGUCUCACUGAUUCCUCCUUCCUGAUGAACCGUAAUGCCAUUAAUUUGGUGUUGCGGGGAAUUUGGACUGUUACUUUGAAAAAAUUAGAGUGUUUAAAGCAAGCUAACGCUUGAAUACAUUAGCAUGGAAUAAUGAAAUAGGACGUUCGAUCCUAUUUUGUUGGUUUCCAGGAUUGACGUAAUGAUUAAUAGGGAUAGUUGGGGGCAUUAGUAUUCAAUUGUCAGAGGUGAAAUUCUUGGAUUUAUUGAAGACUAACUACUGCGAAAGCAUUUGCCAAGGAUGUUUUCAUUAAUCAAGAACGAAAGUUAGGGGAUCGAAGACGAUCAGAUACCGUCGUAGUCUUAACCAUAAACUAUGCCGACUAGGGAUCGGAUGAUGUUAAUUUUUUAAUGACUCAUUCGGCGCCUUACGGGAAACCAAAGUGUUUGGGUUCCGGGGGGAGUAUGGUCGCAAGGCUGAAACUUAAAGGAAUUGACGGAAGGGCACCACCAGGGGUGGAGCCUGCGGCUUAAUUUGACUCAACACGGGGAAA
Molecule: ribosomal RNA, 588 nt
Filed under: uncultured Glomus
Lineage: Eukaryota; Fungi; Glomeromycota; Glomeromycetes; Glomerales; Glomeraceae
Description: SSU rRNA
Rfam family: Eukaryotic small subunit ribosomal RNA
Source: RNAcentral